ACUUGACACGAAUUUGGACCCAUUUGGUGUCUUUUUUGUGCUUUCUCGACUUCUGUUUAGAUUCUAGAGGGUUUCUUCAGUUCUUUCUCAGUUGCAAUCUUGGGUUUUAACCCUCCCCUUAUUGAAGGGGUUUUAGUGCACACGCUAACAGAUGACAUUGAUCUUUGAUACCAGUAGAAAUCUGCAUAAUAUCAUACUAUUAUUUUCGCCUAUUGCUCACCUGUAUGGUUGCUUUGCCUCUGCCUAUGGUGUAUUGGUGUGUGUCAUUAUUCCUGUAGUGGAAACCGAGCCAUAUGAAUUAAAUUCCUGCGUAUUUUUGCUGCUUUUGGAUUUGUGGCCUAAAGGAUGAUGACAGGGCUGUGUUUUACUUUAAUCUUUGGUGCUUAGGCUUCUCCUGACAUGUCUGACAAUGAACGGAAAUUUUUAGUAACACUGUCAUACUCUUUUUCCUAUGGAUUGUAUCUAUGGAGUAGCUUUUGAAAUGGUUAAAGAGAUUGAGUUUCUCCACUCCUAUUUUUUGAGGGUUCUACUGUUGAAGGGGCGACAUACAAUUGUGAAGUUUUGGCACAUAUUCUGCAAGGCACUGCAUUAGUCCUUGCCACUCUAGCCAACCAACACUAAGUAGUGAAUGACCGCACCACUACAUGCUAAUUUGGAAUAAUAACUAGGUGUUCCCUCUGAAUGUUUUGAUUUGUGUAGAAGUCUGAUGACUUUGCCAAAACUAUGUGGUGGAUCAUCACUAUGUGAAACGUUGCCUUCGUAUAAGAGUUGGAAAAUAAUUAAUUAGCUUCCUUAUCUUGCCUACCAGGCUAUGUAAAUAUUAAGUAUGGUGUUGCCAAUUGCUCUCUUUCUGAGCAGCAGGAUAAUUUUUGUGGCACCUCUCUGCUAGCCAUGGUUACUGUUGCUAAAACAUAUUACUUUACUCAGACAGUUAGCGACAAGACCAGUGACAAAAAGGAUGAACAGAAUUCAGGGGACAUCCAGCUCAGGGAUGCGAAGAGAGGCGAGUGGGUGAGGUGACGGUGGAAAGCAAGGAGACCUCCUGCGCCUCAAUGGCUUUGACGUGGCUCGCCUGCUAUCCCAUGUUGUCAUCUUCUCCCAUCAUGACCUCCCGCGUCUGCAUAGGCGAUGCCAACAGUUGCUAUGGUGCUUCUGAUGCCGAGCAUUGAGGCUUACCAUCUGAAGCGCUGGUCUGUUGAGAAGAAGCCGUACCGCCCAAGGAGAUGCAGUGUAAGCCCCAUGGCAUCAAGCCCUUCAUCGUCCUCCCAAGCUGACCAAUGAAGAAUCGUGCGGAGACAAAAGGUUGAUCAAGUUGGAAAAAAUCCCUUCAGAAAGUGUCUUAAAAUUGUUUAAUUUGGAGUAGUGUUGUAGAUAUGUACUGCAGUGUUCUAUUUGUAUAGCACUUGACAAUGGAUGCAUUUUUAUGGAUUACAUGCUACUGUACGUGUUGUGGAUUGCCUGGAUAUCUGUUGAUGAGGUUUGGUCAAUCAGCUCAAGAAUUUGGUAGUGCCUUCUGUGAUGGUGCUUUUCUUCAAUUAUCAUAGAUCCGAUCAUACAGUGGGUCUGCUGAUAAUUUCUUACAGGUGAAACAGUUACAUCGCAGUUGUAGUUUUUUCUUGCUAGCAUUUUGAAAACUAGUUUACAUUUGCGUUGUAUUAAACUCAGAAACCGAAUAUUGUGCAAGGAAAUGACUAUAUAUGGAUUCGUUCUGCGAAUAAAAGAGCUUCCUUCCGCCA
Brachypodium distachyon (stiff brome) is the source of this 1736-nucleotide long non-coding RNA. RefSeq lists it as uncharacterized. The record is from RefSeq and is a predicted model, not a curated record. The transcript is spliced from 2 exons. NCBI's taxonomy places the organism in Eukaryota, Viridiplantae, Streptophyta, Magnoliopsida, Poales, Poaceae.